CAUCAUGGGAAGACGGGCUUUACGGCGAGGUGAAACCAUACAAUCUGGACAACGUAAAAGUACCUGUCACCAUACUAUAUGGAGAGAAUGAUCAACUCACAGAAAAAUCUCAAAUUAUGCGACUAGUGGACCAGUUGAACAAAACAGGGGUACUGGAGUCCGUCCAAGCGGGAGGCGGUUGGCCCAAGUUCAACCACUUAGACUUUAUAUUUGCCAAAGACGUCGGUAAAAUGGUGAACAGACCAUUGGUGGAGCAUAUAGGUGAUUUAUACAAUAAAUAUUAUAAUGAAUGAA
Ostrinia nubilalis (European corn borer) is the source of this 294-nucleotide long non-coding RNA. RefSeq lists it as uncharacterized. The transcript is spliced from 2 exons. The record is from RefSeq and is a predicted model, not a curated record. NCBI's taxonomy places the organism in Eukaryota, Metazoa, Arthropoda, Insecta, Lepidoptera, Crambidae.